This is a non-coding RNA of Peromyscus maniculatus bairdii (prairie deer mouse), 629 nucleotides long. NCBI's taxonomy places the organism in Eukaryota, Metazoa, Chordata, Mammalia, Rodentia, Cricetidae. The record is from RefSeq and is a predicted model, not a curated record.
CAGCAUUCUAGCAUAGAAGGGGGCGGGGCCCAUGAGGAGCUGUUGACAGUUGCUGGCUUCUAGGUAGGGCCGGUCAGUUUUCUUCAAAGGUAUGGACACCGGAUAGCUACAAGAAAGCGUGUUUCAUAUCCUCACCACAGAUGAUUUGGUCAUCACACGUUGUAUACAGGGAUUGAACAACGCACUGUUCCUCCUAGAAACAUGUACAAAAUGAUACCUUGGCUAAACAUAUAAGCAGCUUGCAAAAUUAUUUUAACAACACAAGGAGUCAAAAUGGACAGUGGCCAAGAUACAUUCCAAUGACGGAAUAGGAGCAUGGGCGGACAAGACUAUCAGUAACUCAUCAACAACCUGGCAUCUCAGUCGUCAUGACAUCCAGUCAUCUCACGUGCCAGUGAAAACCAAGGACAAAGAUGUUUAGUAACCUUUCUUAAGGCUGACAAUUAGCUGGUGCAAGGUCAGACACUCAGUUUGGAAAGGCCCUUGACAGAAACUUCUUAUUCCUGGAUAGAAUUUCACCCAAGACAGAGGAGGAAAUCCAUUUUGACAUAACACAUCCCUCCUCUGUCACCUUGCUUGGGUUGCUAUUUUAUAAUAAAUGUACUCUGGGUCUAGCUUCUUGCCUCUCA